RNAcentral lists this ribosomal RNA (497 nucleotides) under uncultured bacterium. RNAcentral describes it as "partial 16S ribosomal RNA". It matches the Rfam family "Bacterial small subunit ribosomal RNA", at positions 28 to 507 of the family's 1533-position model. The record is from RNAcentral.
GACGAACGCUGGCGGCGUGCCUAAUACAUGCAAGUUGAGCGCUCAAGCUUGGUUCUUGUUCCUCCUGCAUGAGCAGCGCACGGGUGAGUAACGCGUGGGGAACCUGCCUUUAAGCCUGGGACAACAUCUUGAAACCACUGCUAAUACCGCAUAAAAUCUUUAACCACAUGUUUUAAGUUUGAAAGACGCUAUUGCCUCACUCAAAGAUGCUCCCGCGUUGGAUUAGCUAGUUGGUGAGGUAAAGGCUCACCAAGGCGAUGAUACAUAGCCGACCUGGGAGGGGGAUAGGCCACAACGGGACUGAGACACGGCACAAACCCCGACGGGAGGGAGCAGUAGGGAAUCCUCGGCCAAGGACGAAAGGCUGACCGAGGAACGCCGGGGGAGGGAAGAAGGGUUUCGGAACGGAAAAAUCAGGUGGUAGAGAAGAACGUUGGGGAGAGUGAAAGGCGCAGCAAGUGACGGGAACUACCCAGAAAGGGACGGCUAACUACGUG